This 549-nucleotide ribosomal RNA is filed under the name uncultured Glomus. Its description in RNAcentral is "SSU rRNA". It matches the Rfam family "Eukaryotic small subunit ribosomal RNA", at positions 548 to 1098 of the family's 1831-position model. The record is from RNAcentral. Lineage: Eukaryota; Fungi; Glomeromycota; Glomeromycetes; Glomerales; Glomeraceae.
UUGGAGGGCAAGUCUGGUGCCAGCAGCCGCGGUAAUUCCAGCUCCAAUAGCGUAUAUUAAAGUUGUUGCAGUUAAAAAGCUCGUAGUUGAAUUUCGGGAUCAAUAUGCUGGUCGUGCCAUUGGUACGUACUAGUAUUAUUGGUUUCUUCCUUCUGAUGAAUCAUGAUGUCAUUAAGUUGAUGUCAUGGGGAAUCAGGACUGUUACUUUGAAAAAAUUAGAGUGUUUAAAGCAGGCUCGCGCUUGAAUACAUUAGCAUGGAAUAAUGAAAUAGGACGUUUGAUUCUAUUUUGUUGGUUUCUAGGAUUGACGUAAUGAUUAAUAGGGAUAGUUGGGGGCAUUAGUAUUCAAUUGUCAGAGGUGAGAUUCUUGGAUUUAUUGAAGACUAACUACUGCGAAAGCAUUUGCCAAGGAUGUUUUCAUUAAUCAAGAACGAAAGUUAGGGGAUCGAAGACGAUCAGAUACCGUCGUAGUCUUAACCAUAAACUAUGCCGACUAGGGAUCGGAUGAUGUUAAUUUUUUAAUGACUCAUUCGGCGCCUUACGGGAAAC